Molecule: ribosomal RNA, 300 nt
Filed under: Triticum aestivum (bread wheat)
Lineage: Eukaryota; Viridiplantae; Streptophyta; Magnoliopsida; Poales; Poaceae
Description: partial small subunit ribosomal RNA
Source: RNAcentral
AUGCAAAAACAUCAUUUUAUUGACAUAGUAAUUAACAUACAGGAAAGUGGAGAAAGAACAAUAUCGUCCAAGCCAUCUCCAGCAGAUGAAGCAAUACAAGUUCUGGUAAAUGCCUACAAAUCCUCCAAUACUUCUGAAAAUGCCAAAAAGGAAAUGCAAGACAUAAAUGAAAUGGUUAGUAUUAUUCGGUAUUUAAUUUGUUUAAACUUUGCAUGGAUAUGUUAUCUACGUGAGAUGAGAUAUGAUAUUAUUUGGCUUGCUAACCCAGGGUGGAGUGAUGAUCAGAAGAAACCAAGCUAG